GACGAACGCUGGCGGCGUGCCUAAUACAUGCAAGUUGAGCGCUGAAGGUUGGUACUUGUACCGACUGGAUGAGCAGCGAACGGGUGAGUAACGCGUGUGGAAUCUGCCUUUGAGCGGGGGACAACAUUUGGAAACGAAUGCUAAUACCGCAUAAAAACUUUAAACACAAGUUUUAAGUUUGAAAGAUGCAAUUGCAUCACUCAAAGAUGAUCCCGCGUUGUAUUAGCUAGUUGGUGAGGUAAAGGCUCACCAAGGCGAUGAUACAUAGCCGACCUGAGAGGGUGAUAGGCCACAUUGGGAGUGAGACACGGCCCAAACUCCUACGGGAGGGAGCAGUAGGGAAUCGUCGGCAAUGGACGAAAGUCUGACCGAGCAACGCCGCGUGCGUGAAGAAGGUUUUCGGAUCGUAAAACUCUGUUGGUAGAGAAGAACGUUGGUGAGAGUGGAAAGCUCAUCAAGUGACGGUAACUACCCAGAAAGGGACGGCUAACUACGUG
Molecule: ribosomal RNA, 497 nt
Filed under: uncultured bacterium
Lineage: Bacteria
Description: partial 16S ribosomal RNA
Rfam family: Bacterial small subunit ribosomal RNA
Source: RNAcentral